This 465-nucleotide ribosomal RNA is filed under the name uncultured bacterium. RNAcentral's name for it is "partial 16S ribosomal RNA". It matches the Rfam family "Bacterial small subunit ribosomal RNA", at positions 28 to 507 of the family's 1533-position model. The record is from RNAcentral.
GACGAACGCUGGCGGCGUGCUUAACACAUGCAAGUCGAACGGAAAGGCCCCUUUGGGGGUCCUCGAGUGGCGAACGGGUGCGUAACACGUGAGUAACCUGCCCUUGACUUCGGGAUAACUUCAGGAAACUGGGGCUAAUACCGGAUAGGAAUCCUUGCUGCAUGGGGGGGGUUGGAAAGCUUCGGCGGCUUUGGAUGGACUCGCGGCCUAUCAGCUUGUUGGUGGGGUAGUGGCUUACCAAGGCUCUGACGGGUAGCCGGCCUGAGAGGGCGACCGGCGACAUUGGGACUGAGAGACGGCCCAGACUCCUACGGGAGGAAGCAGUGGGGAAUAUUGCACAAUGGGCGGAAGCCUGAUGCAGCAACGCCGCGUGCGGGAUGACGGCCUUCGGGUUGUAAACCGCUUUCAGCAGGGGCGAAGCUUGUGGUGACGGUACCUGCAGAAGAAGCACCGGCUAACUACGUG